Phoenix dactylifera (date palm) is the source of this 3550-nucleotide non-coding RNA. NCBI's taxonomy places the organism in Eukaryota, Viridiplantae, Streptophyta, Magnoliopsida, Arecales, Arecaceae. The record is from RefSeq and is a predicted model, not a curated record.
GCGGUUGGCGCGACCCCCGGCCCGCGAUCUCGGGACGGGGGCGUGACAACUUAAGUGGUAUCAGAGCAUAAGUGGAUAAAAUCUAAGACAAAGAAUCUGACAUAAGAUGAGUGUAGGUGGAUAAACACUAAGGGCAUUGGACGUGAAUCCAUGUCAAUUGCAUUGUAAGCUACUUUCAAGAUUUUCUAUUAAGCCUUGUGAUAGAUUAUGUAUGAGAAGGUUACUAGGAAAUUAUGAUUGAAUUUACUUAUGAGGUUUGAUACAUUAUGGAAGAUUGGGCAAUCUAUGAAUCAAGUUAUAAUUAGUUAGAUUUGGAUCUAGAUUAAGUGCAAAAGGAUUGGCCAUGGAAUAUUAUCAUGCAUUGUGAUUAUUUAUUAUUUAAGUGAACUUGUAAACUCAAAAAUUGAUAUGGAGGUAUACUAUGAUUUUGCUUAAUUUUGAAGACAAUUUUUUUAGAGGCAAAUUAAGAUCCAUUUAUAUAAAGUUGUUUAAGAUUUGGGCUAUGAAACCUUUUUACAGUGCUUGAUUAAAAUAUUCUUCGAGGAUUGAAAACUGUAUGUGGAUCAUGUAUGAAACUCCUGUGUAGAUGGAGAAUAUAUUUGGGAUAAAAUUCUAGAAUUAAUUUAAAAUUACAAUAUAGAUUGGGAUUAUGAUUGGAAGUAAUUUAGUAAAUUAUGAGAAUACUGGUUGUUUAAAUUAUUUUAAGAUGAUCAACGAUAUUAACUCUAUGAUUGGAAAAUAUUUUCUGAUGGGUUUUCUUGUUAAGGAGAAUUUCGUUGUCAAAGAAAAGAAUAGUAUUUUUGAUUUUGACUGGAUAUUUUCAUGUUAUUAAUAGGUUCUUCUAUCUGUUGUAAAAAAGAGAGAGAGAGAGAAAUCUGGCAUCCCAAGUCUAGGAUUAAUUUAGCUGAUCUUGGAUUUGGAAUGUUUUAGCCUAGAUCUCUUUUCUCUUAAAUUUGUAGCUUAUGCUUUUGACAGAAUUAAGAAAUAAUUAUCAAUCUUGAAGAAAUAAUUUUAUUGGAGAUUUUAAAGUAUUCAUCUCUGUGGAUUAUUAUUAAUUUAAAUUAUCGUCUUUGGAUCCAAAUAAUAGAUCUUGUUCCUGUCUAUCAGAGACUAUGUGAUGUAUAUAAAACUUCAAUUCAAAGUUUGGAUUUAAGCCGAUCUAGGGUCUUUUGUCAAUAUUGUUGCGGUUGCUGAUAAAAAUCUAGAUUUGCAUAAAGAAUUUGUAUUUUAGAGGCUUACAUGGUUAUGAUGAAGGAUCUAUGAUAAAUGCUAAAGAUCUCGAUGAAGAAAACGUUAGGAGGGAUGGUUGAGUUGGUUUUACUCAUUUGUAUUGAUUUAACGCCUUCUAAUUUGGACGAGCAUUGAGAGAAUUCUUCUGGUUGAUUUUACGUGGAGUUUGACUUAGAAUCCUCUAGUUGAACUGAUAAGAGAAUUAAGAUUCAAUUAAUUUUGACCCGAGGGUGAAUCUAGACGGAUGGCUGGAGGUAAAGUAGGGGACGAGAAUCAAAGAUUUCUUUUUAGGCUCUACGUGGAAAUUGAAAUUUUGGAUCUCUUUAGUUCAUAAUACAAAAUAGUAUUUUGAUCAAAAAAUUAUUAGUGAAUCCAAAGAAUUUUGGUAGUUUGAAUCAGAGUGCGCAACGAAAGCGUAGUGGUCUGAACUAUUUUUCUAAGUUGGUCAGAAGUAUUAUUCCUUUAAUUCGGCAAGUUUUAAUAACAAAAGACUUGAUUUGAUUUUGAAUUUUUGGAUGUCGCUGCACUAUCUUAGGUUCUCUAAUUUUAUGUCAUGCUAAGGAAAUGAUUAACAUCUUGAGACUAGAAUUAAUAGAUCAUCGAUUUUGAUUUUGGAUCUGGAAUAUUUUGGUGUAGACCUAUUUCCUCCUAAAUCUGAAGCUUGUACUUCUUCAAUUAAUAUCAACCCUCUAUUUGAAAGAACUUGAGGUUGUCAAGUGACUUUGAUGAAUAUUCCACUAGGGAUCGAUUAAUCAAGAGUAGUUGAUAUUUUGACAAAGAAACUUGAUGUUCUUAUUCAAAAUUAAGACGUUGAUUUUUUAUUUAUGAGAGAGAGAAGUUUGAUUUACAUCAUCUAUAAAAGAACCAAAUCUGGAGGUAUUGGACCUUAUUCUUAUGAUAAGAUGAAAUUAUAUUGAUAAGUAGAACUAUUGGAAGACUGAGGUUAGUCUUCUAGUAGAGAAGAAUGUUGUUGGUUCUAUGAAUAAUCUGAAGGUAGCUAUGUAAUUUUCAUCAGUGGGGUUUUCUAUUGUUGACAAUUCUUGGGAGAAUCUUGGGCAUCUUAAAUUUAGUAUUAACGGAUUGAUGGUUACUUGGUUGGACUUAGACCUGGAAUACUUUAACAUGGAUCUCUUAUUUCCUAAUUCUGACGUUAUUAAUCUAUCUAUUUGAAAGGGGUUUGAGGUUUUUCUAAGACAAAGGUUGAUCAUUAUAUGAAAAAAAAAGAAAAAAUGAGGAGCAUUUGAUGCUAAAGCUUUCUCCUACUUACAUUUAACCGAUUAAAUUUCUACGUAGAAUUAAUCAAGAGCAAUUAAUUUUUUUCAGAAAAAGAAUUAUGGCAUUUUAAUCCAAGGAUGGAAGGUUAGUCUUAUUUCGAAAGAAAUCAAAAGAACUUGCUAUGAAUCAUGGAUGGAAAAGAUUGAGUUUUGAGAUGCCAUAUUUUUGCCAAAAUCUUGUGAGCCUGCAUUUCGAGAUGGGGAUUGUUUAUAAGCUCAGGAAUAAUAUGAUGUUUUCAUACUUUUCAAAAUUUGAAGCCUUAAGUGAGUUAAUUUCGAGGACGAAAUUAUUUUAAGGGGGGAAGAAUGUGAGACCCAAGCCUUUUGGCCUCACGUGUGUCGCACGUGAGGGCACACGAUGAAAGGGGAAUCAUCACGAUCGCGCGAGGAGAUGGAAACCCCUAUUUUUUUUAGGGCUUCUUCUCCUCAUUUGAAAGCCACCUGAGGUAGAGCCGCCACGCCGAGUCCCCUUCCGGUUGGGUGAUCUUCUUCCUCGCUUGCAGCUGAAAAAAAAAAAAAAAAAAAAAAACUCCACUGCCGCCGGAGAGGAAGAGAGCCGUCGAAGAGGGUCAUCACAGUUCACCCCCGAAACCAGGUAAGCCUCCCAACCACCUCAUUUUCCCUUUCCUGCAUUUUCUCCUCCCAAUCCACUCGGGAGGAUAGAUCAUUUCAAAAGAAAAGAAAAGAAAAGAAGAGGAAGAAGAAGAAAAGGAGAAAGAAAGAAGAGACGGAAGAGGGGGCUUACCCGUGUGCGGCUGCGAGUUUGUCGGCAUCACGGGGAGCAUCCACGGACGUCAUGGAAGCCUCCAGCCUCGGCUCGGCCGUGCGCAUAGGCCGCGAGCAUCGGCUGCAAACGCGAUCGAGGGCACAGCGGGCUCGGCUGGAGGCACUGCCGGUCAUGGCCUGGCCCCUCCCAAGCUCGCCUUCCCCCUCCGUAGGAGAAGAAAGGAGAAGAAAGGGGGAGGGUUGAGAAGAAUAUGAGAAGAAGAAGGGAAGAGCUGAGAGAAGAGAAGGUGAAUCGGGAACGGAAGAAGAAAAAAAAAAAA